This 497-nucleotide ribosomal RNA is filed under the name uncultured bacterium. Its description in RNAcentral is "partial 16S ribosomal RNA". It matches the Rfam family "Bacterial small subunit ribosomal RNA", at positions 28 to 507 of the family's 1533-position model. The record is from RNAcentral.
GAUGAACGCUGGCGGCGUGCCUAAUACAUGCAAGUCGAGCGAACAGAUGAGGAGCUUGCUCCUCUGACGUUAGCGGCGGACGGGUGAGUAACACGUGGAUAACCUACCUAUAAGACUGGGAUAACUUCGGGAAACCGGAGCUAAUACCGGAUAAUAUAUUGAACCGCAUGGUUCAAUAGUGAAAGACGGUUUUGCUGUCACUUAUAGAUGGAUCCGCGCCGCAUUAGCUAGUUGGUAAGGUAACGGCUUACCAAGGCAACGAUGCGUAGCCGACCUGAGAGGGUGAUCGGCCACACGGGAACUGAGACGCGGUCCAGACUCCUACGGGAGGCAGCAGUAGGGAAUCUUCCGCAAUGGGCGAAAGCCUGACGGAGCAACGCCGCGUGAGUGAUGAAGGUCUUCGGAUCGUAAAACUCUGUUAUUAGGGAAGAACAAAUGUGUAAGUAACUAUGCACGUCUUGACGGUACCUAAUCAGAAAGCCACGGCUAACUACGUG